RNAcentral lists this ribosomal RNA (1170 nucleotides) under uncultured Bacteroides sp. Its description in RNAcentral is "bacterial SSU rRNA". It matches the Rfam family "Bacterial small subunit ribosomal RNA", at positions 10 to 1176 of the family's 1533-position model. Lineage: Bacteria; Pseudomonadati; Bacteroidota; Bacteroidia; Bacteroidales; Bacteroidaceae. The record is from RNAcentral.
AGUUUGAUCCUGGCUCAGGAUGAACGCUAGCUACAGGCUUAACACAUGCAAGUCGAGGGGCAGCAUCAUCAAAGCUUGCUUUGAUGGAUGGCGACCGGCGCACGGGUGAGUAACACGUAUCCAACCUGCCGACAACUCUGGGAUAGCCUUUCGAAAGAAAGAUUAAUACCGGAUGGCAUAGUCUUCCCGCAUGGGAUGACUAUUAAAGAAUUUCGGUUGUCGAUGGGGAUGCGUUCCAUUAGGCAGUUGGCGGGGUAACGGCCCACCAAACCAACGAUGGAUAGGGGUUCUGAGAGGAAGGUCCCCCACAUUGGAACUGAGACACGGUCCAAACUCCUACGGGAGGCAGCAGUGAGGAAUAUUGGUCAAUGGACGAGAGUCUGAACCAGCCAAGUAGCGUGAAGGAUGACUGCCCUAUGGGUUGUAAACUUCUUUUAUACGGGAAUAAAGUGAGCCACGUGUGGCUUUUUGUAUGUACCGUAUGAAUAAGGAUCGGCUAACUCCGUGCCAGCAGCCGCGGUAAUACGGAGGAUCCGAGCGUUAUCCGGAUUUAUUGGGUUUAAAGGGAGCGUAGGCGGGUUGUUAAGUCAGUUGUGAAAGUUUGCGGCUCAACCGUAAAAUUGCAGUUGAUACUGGCGACCUUGAGUGCAACAGAGGUAGGCGGAAUUCGUGGUGUAGCGGUGAAAUGCUUAGAUAUCACGAAGAACUCCGAUUGCGAAGGCAGCUUACUGGAUUGUAACUGACGCUGAUGCUCGAAAGUGUGGGUAUCAAACAGGAUUAGAUACCCUGGUAGUCCACACAGUAAACGAUGAAUACUCGCUGUUGGCGAUAUACAGUCAGCGGCCAAGCGAAAGCAUUAAGUAUUCCACCUGGGGAGUACGCCGGCAACCGUGAAACUCAAAGGAAUUGACGGGGGCCCGCACAAGCGGAGGAACAUGUGGUUUAAUUCGAUGAUACGCGAGGAACCUUACCCGGGCUUAAAUUGCAACUGACGGAACCGGAAACGGUUCUUUCUUCGGACAGUUGUGAAGGUGCUGCAUGGUUGUCGUCAGCUCGUGCCGUGAGGUGUCGGCUUAAGUGCCAUAGCGAGCGCAACCCUUACGGGUAGUUACCAUCAGGUUAUGCUGGGGACUCUACCCGGACUGCCGUCGUAAGAUGUGAGGAAGGUGG